Molecule: RNA transcript, 6970 nt
Organism: Ictalurus punctatus (channel catfish)
Lineage: Eukaryota; Metazoa; Chordata; Actinopteri; Siluriformes; Ictaluridae
Gene name: coiled-coil domain-containing protein 178
Exons: 22
Source: RefSeq, a predicted model, not a curated record
CUCCGCUCAGACGGCUGCCUUAGCUCCAGUUGCACUUGCUGGGGCUCCUUCUGGCGCCUUUUUGCCUCAUACAGGCACUGCGUGUGAGCGUAAUUAAAAACAAGACGGAGAAGACGGAGCAGUGGCUGAGGACGAACCUUUCGCCGAUAUGUUCCGAAGUCGUGGUAGCGGCCCGGAUCACGAGAACCUCCAAGAGGUAGUUCCAGCUGCAAGAUCUUGUGCCAUGCCUGACAUUGAAGUGCUAAAACGUCCUUCAAGAGAAAGCGGAGACUGUUUGCAAGGAUGGUUUAUUAUCAGCGAUAAAAUGAUCGACUUCAGUGUGAACGAUCGAGGGGAACUGCAGAGAGUGUACUCCGGCCAAACAUGCGCGCUAACAAACACUCCAACACCAUGCGUGGGUAAAGCAAUGUGCCACAUCCAGGAACUAACGGACAAACUGGACCACUGGGCCCGACAGGCAGCUACUAAACAGCUUGAUAUUUCUGAAGGAAGAACUAAAAACGCCGACAUCUCAAGGUUUGAUUCGUCCCAUUUGAAAACCCACCCCGAGCUGUGUAUUGAAGGCGUGGGGCUUUGUUAUGAAAACGAAACGUCGUACCCCUUCUGGAAGGGGACAGGUGGUGUUCUGCUGGAAGUGGUGUCACUUAUCAAGCGCCUGGAGUCAGAUCGGCAAGAGGCCAAGGAGUCGCUGCAAGAGGAACGAUAUAAAGCACAGCGCCUGAGAAGAAAACAGGACAGUCUCUCUCUAUGGAAACAACAAGAAUUUCCCGUAGCGGUGCAGCUAGAAUACGACGCUUGCACCAGAGACAUCGCCGAGCUGAGGUGGCAUCUUCGCGUAAACGGCGAUCGAACGCGGCAAGUCCGAAACACCCUGAAGCAGGCCGAGAUGCAGAAUCAUCGACUGCUCGAGAAGAUCGAGUUUGUAAAGACCCAGCGCCCGCUUCUCAAAGAGAAGAUGCACUUGGAACACGGGAACACGAAGCGGAUAGAAUCGGCUCGGACGGAGGCUAGCAAGGUUCUCGCAGAGUUGUCCCAUGAGCUGAGAGAUUCCCAGCAGGAGUUGGAGAAUGAUGAACUUCACAUAAAUAACGAAAGGGGCGCCAUAAGACAGACACUCGAAGACGUCCACACUCAGCUUCAAGAGCGGAUCACCCAACUCCAGCAGCUUCGGUCUUCCUGGGAUGACUCGUGUGCCAGAAUCCGCGAGACUGAGGAGAAGGUCGUGUUUAACGAUAAACAGGUUGACGCCAUGCUCCAGCAGAUCCCCGUUCUAGAAACACAAGAGACCGAAAUAAGCUAUGCCGUCCAGCAACUAAAAGCAGAGCUACAAAGUCAUGAAAGAAAACUGGCGGAAAAACGAGACGACUUUACAAGCUUUUUGAAGCAGAUCCAAGCAACUAGGCAUGAAGGAGAAGCAAAUGUCUGCGAGUCUGAGCAGGUCUUCAGCAGGAAGCGUCAGGAGCUCCUGCGCCUGCGUGAUAAAAAUAAAGAACACGAAAUAGAAGCUGAGGACUACAAUAAGAAGAUCUGUCAAAGCAAGCAGGCAGUGCAGCAACUGCAAAAGAACCAAAAGCAGAUACUAGAGAAGAUCAGUCAAAAUGAGGAACAGAGGGAUCAGGCCAAGGGUGAGCUGGCACUGCACACCGCCCACCACACUAACGCCAAGGCUCGGCUGCAGGAGCUGAAGCAGCAGACACUCGUGCAGGAGCAGAGAAUGAGGAAAGAGACCGAAACAUUGAAGAUGCAGCUGAUGAGUGAGAUGACACUGUUAGCAGUCCUCAAGGGUAACAUCACGUCAAUCAAUAAGGAAUAUAAAGUGAUAGAAGCCGAUUGUGAGCGAGAGAAAGAUGAGGUAGCGAAAGAGCACGAAGAAGCCUCGAUUGCAGUCGCCCAACUGGAGACAGAGCUGGUUAAACUACGAGAAACACACACAGCCAAAUCUAAAAAAAUCGAGGACUUGAAAAGGAAACUGAGUGACGUCCUGACUGCACACAAAACCCUGUCUGAUGACCUUGAGCAGCAGAAGCGUGCCUGUCUCGACCGUCUGCAUUCAGCUAAAGAAGCCCGUACGGCAGUCCUGGUGAGACGUGAACAGGUUUCCAGAAGGCUCGAUGAGCUCAGGCUAAAGUGUGAAGAAUACAGAACGGAAUCGGCGGUGAUGGAGGACACGGUUACUGCCAUUCCGCAAGUCCUGGAAGAACUACGGAGUGAAUCUGACAUGGUGGAGUAUAAGCACAACCUGAUCAGCACCGUGAUGUCCAGCCUGCAGAGCGACACGGUGGCCUGCAGAAACAGGACCGACCUUUCAAAUGAGGCUCACUCGACCCUCCUUUCCCAACGGCAGGCUGUGAUGCAAGACCUGAAGGCUAAUUUGAGGAAAGCUCUAAAAGAGAACGCCGAGCUGGCGCAGGAAUACGGGGAGCUGCAGAAAGCCGUGAUGGUUGCCAGGCGAGAAGCCGUGCUCGCGUCGAGUGAGAAAAACAGAGCCGAGGCCUCGUUUCACGAUCACACCCAGCUUUCAUUGUUGCAGAGGAGGAUGCACAAAGCCAUGCUGAAAUACUUCAAACACCGCAGCGUCUACAGCCAAGCAGAGCUGGCCCGCUUCCAGGCCCUCUCCAACCAGAACAAGCAGAAAAUGAAAGCCCUCCAGGAGGACUUGUCCAGAGCAAUCCAGCGCGUCUCGGCCUUCCUGACGGACGCCGGCCACGACGCCACGGCGGACAAACAGGGGCGCGUGGACCUCGAUGGACUUAACCGGCCGAUGCCUACGGUGCAGAUAGCAGAGUAAUUGGACGCUCACCUUUGUGCCAGACGACUCACUUAAAACCCUCUCGGAGCGUGCUUCACUCUCUCCACCCUCGCUGCUCCUCACAGCCCAAUCCAUAACAAUGAAACAGGUCUCCAAGCGCCCGGGCCCACCUGGUCGAGAACUCGCCCAUUAGAAGCCCAUAUGUGAGAAAGAAGCAGCACAUCUACAUUUCUACACUAAGGCAACACCCCUGUGGGAUACACACACGCGCACACACGCGCACACACACACACACACACGUGCGUUUCUCUUACUAUCCUUGUGAGGACCUAACUCAAACCCCAAACCAGGAACCUACAGGAAGCCUUUUAUCUCGAUUUUUUUAAAAAUAAGAGCUGAAGAUUUUUUAAAUCGUGGGGACCAGCCAAAUGUCCUCAUAAAAUCAACACUGUAAGAAAUUCCUAUCCUUGUGAGGACAUUUAGUUCCCACCGAGAUAUAAAAACAUUCCCUUCCCCCUACACACACACACACACACACACACACACAGUGUAUUAAACCUAAUUUGACUCAUUAUUGUGUUGUUGAGUCAAUCAUAUAGAAAAAGUACAUUUCCAUUUGCUCUCCGCUACCGCAUUUCAUUUCCAUGUUUACUGAAUAAUAUAAAGAACAGAAGGAAUAUGAAGGAAGCCGCGAGCACUGAAUCGCUCGUUUUACACAUUCACUAUAUGUUAUGAAAAUGUUCCCAAGUCAUCAUGUUCAAUUACGUGGGAUCGGGUCAUACGGCGAGGUAAAAAUGACCGAGGUGCCAACAUUUACGGGUCAUCUGGCAUUUACCAUUUUUGAGGCAAUUCUCCGGCAAUAAGGGAGACGCCUGAAAACUACGCUUUUCUGUUUUUAACGUUAUAGAUCAGAGCAAACACAUGUAAAAUUCACCAAGUAGAAAGCAGACUGACUGGAGGGGACUUUUUUGUAGGUGAACUUUGACCCUUGGAAUUCGCUAACUUCAGGCUUCUGAGCCAGUAGAAUCCAAGUGGGUUGCAUUCACUAAAGAAAUGGCAGAGCUGCUUAAUUUACUGUUGGGUUUGGGGUAAUUAUCUGUUUUUGUGGUAAAAUUCUAUUUUAUAUUUUAUUUUGAGGUUUUUUUGGGGAGUUUUUUGUGGUAAAAUUCUGUUUUGUAGUUUUGUUUGAUAAAAUUUUAUGGUAAUAUUCUGUUUUCAGGUUUUUUGCAGUAAAAUCGUCUGGAAGGUAAAAUUCUGUCUUUUUUUGUGGUAAAUGUCUCGAUUCUUGUGGUGAAAUUAUGUUUUUUUGUACUAGAGUUCUGCUUUUUUGGGGAUUCUAGGUCAUUCUGGUCAUUUUUUAUGCACGAUAGUUCUGGGUUUUUGUGGUAAAAUUGUGGUGGUGUUUUUUUUUUUAUUGGUACGACUUUUUUUUUUAUUGACCUUUGGGGUUUUUGUAGUAAAAUUCUGUUUUUUUAAAUGAUACAAUUCUGGGGGUUUUGUGGUAAAUAUGUUUGUUUUUGUAGUAGAAUUCUAGUUUUUAUGAGUAGAAUUCUGUUUUGUUUGUUGUAAAAUAAGUUUUCUUGUGGUAAAUUUAUGAGUAUUUGGAGUAAAAUUCUGUUUUGUUUGUUGUAAAAAAAUUUGUUUUGUUGAAAUAAGUUUUCUUGUACAUUUCUGGGGUUUUGUGAUCAAUUUCUUUCUGUUUGUAUUUUUGCAGUAAAAUUCUGAUUUUUUGUGAUUAAAAAAAAUAUUUUGAGUUUCAAAAAAAUUCAACGUUUUUUUUUUUUUUUUUUUUUAAUGUAAAAUUAGGUUUUUCUCUCUAGUUGGCUCGGAUUUCCUAGUUAGCAAUGUUGGCACCUCUGAAAUGAUUACCAAUACUGAUACACAUCUCAUCCGUCUCCAUCUCUGCUCGAACUGACACGAAUCUAUAAAUGCUAAGGAUAUUUUCUAUUCAGAUAUUUUCUAUUCAGCUAUUAUUACUAACGUGCUGCUGUGCACAAAGGACUAAGUGGCGCGUUAGGCUACAAAUACAGCAUAAAGCACACAGAUCAUUUGCACGGAAUAAACAUGGAUUUAUGCCGCAAAGGAGGGAUUGUGUAGAAAUAACUGGGAGCAUCUUUUAACAAUCCUAACAUACUAGAGGCUGUGAAAAAUCCACACUAUUAAAGCUCAGGCUUUUCCACAGAACCCAAGUGUCUGAAGGCUGUAAUAUACGAUUUAAAAAUAAAUAAAUAUAAAAUAAAUUUUUUUUAAAAAAACGCCGCCAACUUCUUACACAAAAAGCUACUUUCUGAACGUCGUCAUUGCACCACAUUUAGUUAGCAAAAAAUAUUUUUACAAACAAGAUGAUAUCGCAGCGCUCCGUGAUAUUAAUAUGAUCUGUUCCCUGAUCUGUAAAGCACCUGGUUAUCUUGCUCGGCGCCGAUAAGAAAAAGUGCUGCGGAUUUCCAGUUUGUGAGCACAUUUGGGCUGAAUCUUUCACACGUCACAAAUUGCAGAUGGGAAGCGGUGAUCUUGAACAGCCGAUCACCCCAGCGUGACCAUCUGACACCUUCCAUUUAGGAAAAUAAUACUUUCUAUCUUAGCAUACUCUCCCCACUGCAGCCAACCAAAGGAAAUAUGCUUGGAGGAGUUUCAGCUACUAACUUUCACUCCUUCUACGCUCCUCUCUCUCUCUCUCUCUCUUUCUAGUUUUCCAGGAUGUGUUACCUCGUUGUUGUUUUUUUUUAAAUAAAAAAUUUCCUGUUAAAAUAAAGAUAUAGGUUUCUAAAAAAGGUGAUACGGAUUACUGAAAUAUAGAGUGAAUGAUAUUCUCGAUUAUUUGUUUGAAACGAGUAUUGCUCUAUAGAACGCACGUCCUGUUUAUCACCUCGACACGAUGAGUCGUAAACUAAAACUAGCUAGGGUUAUCUUUUACAUUCCUCCAUGGGGAAGGUUUCGAAAUGAGUUGUAUUUCAUGUAUUAUAGAAUGUUCUGGAUAUUGAAUUAAAUGUUCGUCUACAGCCUCAGACACCUCCAAAUAACCCAAAUGACUACUCAGUAUGGAAUCAGACACUUGGAGGCACGCCGUUAUCGGAAAAUAAUCAACGACGGGUUUAGUCCCGGUUACUGUUCCCACCCUGAAGUUGAAUAUCUUCCUACAGCGGCAUGAUACUGAAGUGUUUUAUUCCUCUUACGCCGCAGCGAUUUGCCAAAAAAAACGCACGCCGUCAUGAUUUUUUAUCCGUUUAUGUUUACUUUAACGUCACGGAGCAUCCGCGAAUCAGGUUAGUUCUCAUUAUCAGUCGUUUCCUUACUGAUGUUCCAGGAACUAACUUGUUACACAAUGUUAAACGUCGUCAUUUUGGUAAAUUUAGGAUUUACACACUUUGGGAUGUGGCGUUAUCAGACAAUCAUCAGAAAGAUAUCCUAUCUUGAACAUGGGCGAAUUUCUCAUCUAAGGCCUGUUUUUAGACGCUUUCGCACAUUUCAAGCUUUAAAUGAUCAUUUCGCUUCCUUCUAGAAAUAAAUGCUUGAAAUUAGCCAAUAGAACAGAUUAAUUCAAGCUUGAAAUGAGUUAAUGAAUGAAUCUUAUAUUUAGUUUAUUGUGAUCUUGUAAUAGUUUUUCAAGAUAUAGAUGUCUUUCUUUUUUUUUUGUUGUUUGUUUGAUUGUUGAUUACGUUCCUAUAACAUGACGCAGUGUUUUAUUCCUCACAUAUCUGAUGUGAAUUAGCCAAUAGGUCGCUAAUCCUAUCGUUGAGGUAAAUGUAGGCUGUAGUUAUGUGUGCGCGGAGAUGUAUUACAGGCGUACGUGUGUAUAGCGAUGACGAUCGCGCCGCUCUGUCUCAGUCUGGAGUACGAACCGGACCGGAUCCUCCACUCACGAGCAUUACAUGUGUAACGCUGGCGAUAAAUAAGAGUCGGGUUUUUAACCGAGGGGGAAGAGAGAGUUGUAAAUGUUCUCGGUGAUUUGCAGUCUCUAAGGGUUUAAUUAAGUCCACAGUCUCCGCUUUUAACAUGAUGAGACUCACUCGACGCCCCGGCGUAACACGGCGCACACCCGGAAUGCCCCGCCAUCUCGAGUCCACGGGCCUCAGGAGAACCGAGGCGCUAGACGGAGCUUAAACGCUCGGAGAGAUGGCCAUCUCAGAUGGUCUAACAAGUCAACGGAGAAUUGGCUGAUAGCAUAUCAAUUUUCGCCUGCUGCGUUCCACUGCUUGCGAGCUAUGACACUAUGACCAGAGU